Long non-coding RNA from Sapajus apella (tufted capuchin), 103 nucleotides. RefSeq lists it as uncharacterized. NCBI's taxonomy places the organism in Eukaryota, Metazoa, Chordata, Mammalia, Primates, Cebidae. The transcript has 3 exons. The record is from RefSeq and is a predicted model, not a curated record.
UGAAAUGUAAUUGACAUUUUGAAACUGCCUUUGCAAAAAUUAUAACAGUGAGAAAAUUGUGGCAGUAAAAGAGAUCUGAUCUAAUCAACUCCAUCUUUCCUUU